This 450-nucleotide ribosomal RNA is filed under the name uncultured bacterium. RNAcentral's name for it is "partial 16S ribosomal RNA". It matches the Rfam family "Bacterial small subunit ribosomal RNA", at positions 338 to 795 of the family's 1533-position model. The record is from RNAcentral.
CCUACGGGGGGCUGCAGUGGGGAAUAUUGCGCAAUGGGCGAAAGCCUGACGCAGCGACGCCGCGUGGGUGAUGAAGGCCUUCGGGUUGUAAAGCCCUGUCGGGUGGAACGAACGAUCUGGCGUCGAAUAACCGCCGGGUGUGACGGUACCACCGAAGGAAGCCCCGGCUAACUACGUGCCAGCAGCCGCGGUAAGACGUAGGGGGCGAGCGUGGUUCGGAUUUACGUAGGGUGAAGCGCGCGUAGGCGGCGAAAUCCCUGGGCUUAACCGAGGUCCGGCAUCCGAUACUGUCUGGCUCGAGUAUAGGAGAGGAAAGCGGAAUUCCCAGUGUAGCGGUGAAAUGCGUAGAUAUUGGGAGGAACACCGGUGGCGAAGGCGGCUUUCCGGACUAGUACUGACGCUGAGGCGCGAAAGCUAGGGGAGCGAACGGGAUUAGAUACCCCUGUAGUC